AAAGUCGUAAACAAGGGUUUUCCGUAAGGUGAACCUGCGGAAGGAUCAUUAGUGAAUCUAGAGCGUAACUUCGGUUAGCUCAACCUUCAUUUUCCAACUCUGUGCACUAUUGGCGGACUGAAAGUAUGAAAUUACUACUAAGUCUGCGGCUCAUUAUUAAACAUUAGUUAAAAGUAUGUAUUAUAAAAAUAAAACAAAAAAU
This 202-nucleotide unclassified non-coding RNA is filed under the name plant metagenome. Its description in RNAcentral is "partial contains small subunit ribosomal RNA and internal transcribed spacer 1". The record is from RNAcentral.